Molecule: ribosomal RNA, 425 nt
Filed under: uncultured bacterium
Lineage: Bacteria
Description: bacterial SSU rRNA
Rfam family: Bacterial small subunit ribosomal RNA
Source: RNAcentral
GAAUAUCGGACAAUGGGCGCAAGCCUGAUCCAGCCAUGCCGCGUGUGUGAAGAAGGCUCUAGGGUUGUAAAGCACUUUAAGUUGUGAGGAAGUGGUUAUUGUGAAUAAUGAUGAUCAUUGACGUUAGCAACAGAAUAAGCACCGGCUAACUCCGUGCCAGCAGCCGCGGUAAUACGGGGGGUGCAAGCGUUAAUCGGAUUUACUGGGCGUAAAGAGCUCGUAGGCGGUUAAUCAAGUUGGAUGUGAAAGCCCAGGGCUUAACCUUGGAGCUGCAUUCAAAACUAAUUGACUUGAGUAAGGGAGAGGAGAGUGGAAUUUCCAGUGUAGCGGUGAAAUGCAUAGAUAUUGGAAGGAACACCAGUGGCGAAGGCGACUCUCUGGCCUAUUACUGACGCUGAGGAGCGAAAGCGUGGGGAGCAAACAGG